AAUUAUACAAAUCCACGAUUCGAUACUUGGGUUAGAGUGGAAGAUAUUGACCGUACUUCGCCUGUUUAUAGACAUCUUGCCGCAUUUCCUCUAGGAGAUGAAACUCACGGAGGUGAAGACGUUCCUGUUUAUGCUAUAGGUCCAAAUGCUAAAUUAGUGCAAGGUGCUAUGGAGCAAAAUUUUAUCGCCUACAUUAUGAGUUAUUCUAGUUGUAUUGGCCCAGCAGCUAAAUUUAAUGAUGCAUGCAAAUAUCAAACAAGUUCUGCAACUUCAGUCAUGCAGCCAAAGUUUUUCGGGAAAAACAGAUUAUUUCAAUUUCUUCUAUCUGUAUUAUUCGCAAUUUUCGCAAAACUAAUGUAAAAAAAAAGUGAACAUUAUUUUUACUAUUUGUUUGUAAAUAUGUAUUAAAUAAAUGUAAAGAUGAAAAAAACAA
Culicoides brevitarsis is the source of this 433-nucleotide long non-coding RNA. RefSeq lists it as uncharacterized. The transcript is spliced from 2 exons. The record is from RefSeq and is a predicted model, not a curated record. Lineage: Eukaryota; Metazoa; Arthropoda; Insecta; Diptera; Ceratopogonidae.